CCUACGGGCGGCAGCAGUGAGGAAUAUUGGUCAAUGGACGAGAGUCUGAACCAGCCAAGUAGCGUGAAGGAUGACUGCCCUAUGGGUUGUAAACUUCUUUUAUAUGGGAAUAAAACGUUCCACGUGUGGGAUUUUGUAUGUACCAUAUGAAUAAGGCUCGGCUAACUCCGUGCCAGCAGCCGCGGUAAUACGGAGGAUCCGAGCGUUAUCCGGAUUUAUUGGGUUUAAAGGGAGCGUAGGUGGAUUGUUAAGUCAGUUGUGAAAGUUUGCGGCUCAACCGUAAAAUUGCAGUUGAAACUGGCAGUCUUGAGUACAGUAGAGGUGGGCGGAAUUCGUGGUGUAGCGGUGAAAUGCUUAGAUAGCACGAAGAACUCCGAUUGCGAAGGCAGUUCACUGGACUGCAACUGACACUGAGGCUCGAAAGUGUGGGUAUCAAACAGGAUUAGAUACCCCAGUAAUC
RNAcentral lists this ribosomal RNA (460 nucleotides) under uncultured bacterium. RNAcentral describes it as "partial 16S ribosomal RNA". It matches the Rfam family "Bacterial small subunit ribosomal RNA", at positions 338 to 795 of the family's 1533-position model. The record is from RNAcentral.